Molecule: unclassified non-coding RNA, 22 nt
Filed under: Chlamydomonas reinhardtii
Lineage: Eukaryota; Viridiplantae; Chlorophyta; Chlorophyceae; Chlamydomonadales; Chlamydomonadaceae
Description: small RNA Cre_3395
Source: RNAcentral
UGGGGGUGGCCGCCGGCGGUGC